UACGUAGGGGGCAAGCGUUGUCCGGAUUUAUUGGGCGUAAAGAGCGUGUAGGCGGCCGUACAGGUCAGCUGUGAAAACUCGAGGCUUAACCUCGAGACGUCGGUUGAAACCAUCUGGCUAGAGUCCGGAAGAGGAGUGUGGAAUUCCCGGUGUAGCGGUGAAAUGCGCAGAUAUCAGGAAGAACACCCGUGGCGAAGGCGGCUCUCUGGGACGGUACUGACGCUGAGACGCGAAAGCGUGGGGAGCGAACAGG
Molecule: ribosomal RNA, 253 nt
Filed under: uncultured bacterium
Lineage: Bacteria
Description: partial 16S ribosomal RNA
Rfam family: Bacterial small subunit ribosomal RNA
Source: RNAcentral